This 227-nucleotide ribosomal RNA is filed under the name uncultured bacterium. RNAcentral describes it as "partial 16S ribosomal RNA". It matches the Rfam family "Bacterial small subunit ribosomal RNA", at positions 118 to 347 of the family's 1533-position model. The record is from RNAcentral.
UGGGUGACCUGCCCUCAGCUCUGGGAUAAGCCCGGGAAACUGGGUCUAAUACCGGAUAUGACCUCUCAUCGCAUGGUGAGGGGUGGAAAGUUUUUCGGUCUGGGAUGGGCUCGCGGCCUAUCAGCUUGUUGGUGGGGUGAUGGCCUACCAAGGCGACGACGGGUAGCCGGCCUGAGAGGGCGACCGGCCACACUGGGACUGAGACACGGCCCAGACUCCUACGGGAG